Priapulus caudatus is the source of this 542-nucleotide long non-coding RNA. RefSeq lists it as uncharacterized. The transcript has 4 exons. Lineage: Eukaryota; Metazoa; Priapulida; Priapulimorpha; Priapulimorphida; Priapulidae. The record is from RefSeq and is a predicted model, not a curated record.
CGCAGCCAGCGAGCUGCUUAAGCGCGACCUCGCGCAGCUGCGCGCCGAGCUGCUCGACCGCGACAACCGCAUCGUCGCCAUGGAGAUGCAGAGCCGGCAGGGAACAGCGGCGGCGCGGCCACGACGACGACGACGACGACGCAGCCUUUGUCCCCGUGCGCACGCGAGCAGAUGAAGAAGCUUCAGGAGCAGGUUGAGAAGAGCCUGAAGGACAAGGAGAAGCUGACGACUACGUGAAGGAGGUCAGGUCAAGUACAAGAAGCUCAAGGACGAGUACGUGACGAGCCGCAAGCGCUGCAAGCUGCUCGAGCAGGACGUGAGGAAGAUGGAGGAGGACACGAGCAGGGUGAGGAGAAGCGAGGCGCAAUGAGGUUCAACUGAGGAAGCCAGGGACAUGAAUGAAACGAUGAAGCUAGAGCUGACCAUGUAUGACAAGCUGGAGAGAACAUUGACACCAGGUAAAGCGUCGAGGCACGGUAAGGCCGGCGGCGGCCGAUGAUAGAAGCCGCCCGACCUCGCUCAGCUGCUCGCAGAGAUUCGCA